UAUGGGUCAUGUAAAUACAACAUUGUUAUGGCAAUUACUCACUGACGACACACAGAGGAGAUUCUGUUACCUAUAAACAGCUAGUAAAUAUGGGCAUGACAUUUUAAACAGUUUUCUGCUUUAACAAGACAAGAGGAUGAUACUUCCCAUCUCUUUAGCUGAUUGUCCCUCCCCACCCACAGCCUCUUUCCCUUCAACACUUUCUGCCUAAAUCUCCAAAUAAUCACCCCACUCACUCACACCAGGCCAGUGGCUGGCAGGCUCCUUGGCCAAGUUUACUAUCUGGUUCCAAAGGGGAAGGAAAAAUGCAUUUGUUCUUUCAGAAUGAGAGCUCCCAGAACAUCAGGGGUGGAGGGCUUGGUCAUCUGAGGGUGUUUCUAUAAUCUGGAAUCCUAAAUUUAGCAAGGGACAUAGCCCAGGCUAAGAGAAUGUCUUCCUUCCUAUGAACUUCCUACCCAUCAGCAGAAGUGGAAGCUGGAAAAGCUCACAGAGGUCACUCUUUCCCCCCAGGUUUUCAGUUACUUGGAACACUCCACUUUAGGGAUUUCCAAAGUCACUGGGCUCAUUGGAAUAUUCUCUUUUUAUUGACAUGAAACGUGUUUGCUGAGUCUGGCUGGCCAAGUGAUUCCACAGGGUGAAAAAGAAAAGGCAUUGAAAUAUUCAUCAGGAGAGCUACCCAGUUCCACCGCCAGUUUCCUAGGCAAUGGCAGAGGAAAUGAAAGAUGAGUUUGACAACAUCAGGCUGCUUGGCUCAGAGAAAAUACAAGAUUGCUACAUUCCACAAGUUACUGAAUUUGGGGGAGCGCUGCAUUUGUCCUCUUGAAAUGAUCUGACUCAGCUUCUCUGAAUUUUGUUUUUUUAAAGAACAUAUUAUUCAUCAUUUUGUUCUUAUCUCUGUAGUACAAGGAUAUGGGAUUUGAAAUCACACCGAAGUGCAUUUGAAGCUCACUUGCGUGGUCUUGGAUAAGUUACUUAAACCUCCCUACCUUCAGUUUCCUUAUCUGGAAAACAGAAUACCAUGUUGACCUUGCAGGAUUGUUUAACAGAUUCUCCCUCUAGUUCAAGCUGCUCUCAUGGUGUUCUGUCUCUUACUUGUCCCCCAGUAUGCGUUCUUUCACUAGUAAAGCGUAAAUUCCACCAGGGCAGGUACCGUGUCUCUUUUCCUCACCAUGUGUACCCCCAGAACCGCAUGUACUGGUGUGCCUGUUGCAUAAGCAGGAGCACAAUAAAUGUCUGUUG
Pan troglodytes (chimpanzee) is the source of this 1239-nucleotide long non-coding RNA. RefSeq lists it as uncharacterized. The record is from RefSeq and is a predicted model, not a curated record. Lineage: Eukaryota; Metazoa; Chordata; Mammalia; Primates; Hominidae. The transcript is spliced from 3 exons.